Molecule: ribosomal RNA, 239 nt
Filed under: uncultured bacterium
Lineage: Bacteria
Description: partial 16S ribosomal RNA
Rfam family: Bacterial small subunit ribosomal RNA
Source: RNAcentral
GAUCAUGGCUCAGGACGAACGCUGGCGGCGUGCCUAAUACAUGCAAGUCGAGCGGAGGUUAUUGAGUAGUAAUACGAGAUGACCUUAGCGGCGGACGGGUGAGUAACGCGUGAGCAACCUGGCCUAUACAGGGGGGAUAACAGGGAGAAAUUCCUGCUAAUACCGCAUAAGACCACAGUAUCGCAUGGUACUGGGGUCAAAGGAGAGAUUCGGUAUAGGAUGGGCUCGCGUCCCAUUAG